RNAcentral lists this ribosomal RNA (301 nucleotides) under uncultured bacterium. RNAcentral describes it as "partial 16S ribosomal RNA". It matches the Rfam family "Bacterial small subunit ribosomal RNA", at positions 509 to 808 of the family's 1533-position model. The record is from RNAcentral.
CAGUCGCCACGGGAAUACGAAGGGGGCUAGCGUUGCUCGGAAUUACUGGGCGUAAAGGGAGCGUAGGCGGAUCGUUAAGUUGGGGGUGGAAGCCCGGGGCUCAACCUCGGAACUGCCUUCAAUACUGGCGAUCUUGAGUAUGAGAGAGGUGUGUGGAACUCCGAGUGUAGAGGUGAAAUUCGUAGAUAUUCGGAAGAACACCAGUGGCGAAGGCGACACACUGGCUCAUUACUGACGCUGAGGCUCGAAAGCGUGGGGAGCAAACAGGAUUAGAUACCCGGGUGUCCCUGUCUCUUAUACA